UACGGAGGAUGCGAGCGUUAUCCGGAUUUAUUGGGUUUAAAGGGUGCGUAGGCGGCCGAGUAAGUCAGCGGUGAAAUUUUGCAGCUUAACUGUAACAGUGCCGUUGAUACUGCAUGGCUAGGAUUUGGUUGCUGUGGGUGGAAUGUGUGGUGUAGCGGUGAAAUGCUUAGAUAUCACACAGAAUAUCAAUUGCAAAGGCAGCUCACAAAGCCAAGAUUGACGCUGAGGCACGAAAGUGUGGGGAUCAAA
This 249-nucleotide ribosomal RNA is filed under the name uncultured prokaryote. RNAcentral describes it as "partial 16S ribosomal RNA". It matches the Rfam family "Bacterial small subunit ribosomal RNA", at positions 524 to 772 of the family's 1533-position model. The record is from RNAcentral.